This is a long non-coding RNA of Panicum hallii, 219 nucleotides long. RefSeq lists it as uncharacterized. The transcript has 3 exons. NCBI's taxonomy places the organism in Eukaryota, Viridiplantae, Streptophyta, Magnoliopsida, Poales, Poaceae. The record is from RefSeq and is a predicted model, not a curated record.
UUCUUAGGUUAAUACAGUCCCCCCUGUUGCACCAUCCAGUGAGCAGGGCAACCCAAAGGACAGGGAAAGGAGCAGAGAAGACUCUACAAUUGUGGUGAUUAAUGACCGCAAAGUUAACUUGCUGGACAGUGAGUCAGGGUCCUUGUAUGCUCUCUGUAGAUCCUGGGUGCGCAAUGGUGUUCCACAUGAAAGUCAGGUUAGCCCACUUUUCUUCUUUCA